RNAcentral lists this ribosomal RNA (244 nucleotides) under Catenibacterium mitsuokai. RNAcentral's name for it is "partial 16S ribosomal RNA". It matches the Rfam family "Bacterial small subunit ribosomal RNA", at positions 1 to 246 of the family's 1533-position model. Lineage: Bacteria; Bacillati; Bacillota; Erysipelotrichia; Erysipelotrichales; Coprobacillaceae. The record is from RNAcentral.
UCAGUGGAGAGUUUGAUCCUGGCUCAGGAUGAACGCUGGCGGCGUGCCUAAUACAUGCAAGUCGAACGAAUCUCUUUUAGAGAUGAGUGGCGAACGGGUGAGUAAUACAUAGGUAACCUGCCCCUGUGCGGGGGAUAACAGGAGGAAACUCCUGCUAAUACCGCAUAGCCAUGAGCACCGCAUGGAGCUCAUGCCAAAUAUCCUUUAUGGGAUAGCGCAGGGAUGGACCUAUGGCGCAUUAGCU